Salvelinus fontinalis (brook trout) is the source of this 3285-nucleotide RNA transcript. It is a transcript of the gene named polyadenylate-binding protein 1-B-like, with no coding region annotated. The record is from RefSeq and is a predicted model, not a curated record. The transcript has 2 exons. NCBI's taxonomy places the organism in Eukaryota, Metazoa, Chordata, Actinopteri, Salmoniformes, Salmonidae.
UUAUGAUUCUGAAAGCAAUUAACCCAUUCAUGUAUUUCUUUCUCUUCUCUUUCUCUCUUUUUCAGCCCACAGAACCCCCUCCACAUGGUACCCGGACUUUAGACAGAGGCCGUCACUCUGACCCACCGCUACACACAAACCCUCACAACUUCUACACUGUCCCACCCGAUGGCCACGAUAGCACACACACACCGCCACGCAACACUGACCCACUCCAACACAAUGGCCACGCCAACAGAAAUAGGUUCCCACACAAUGCCCAACAUCCGAAUGCCAAUUCGUUUCCACAACAUGGCACCACGCAGGACCACAACCCUUUCACACACACUGCUGCACCUCAGAACGCCAACAGACUCGACACCUUCCCACAGAUGACUCAAAACAACCCAAACACUCCAAACAUUCUCAUACAAGCGGGUUCUACUCAGGUCGGUGUUAACCUUAACACACUGCCACACGACCAGCAAAAUAGCAACGCACAGAUGGCCACGGUUCACGUCAAUCUCAAUUCCUAUCCAACUAAUGGUCAACAACCCAACCAACAGUCACAGCAACAAUUUACAAGCCCACAGGACAGUACAGCGGAGCGGAGCGCCACCAGUGCUAGUGCUCUUCAGGUUCAAAAUGACAACCCACAAACGUUCACACAGACUGGACAGUCAUACUCCAAUCCCAGGAUGCAAAUGGGCUUGUCCUAUCCUGGUGAUACUUCACAGGUUGACCACAGUAACUUAGACACUGGUCCUCAAGUCUCUACUGGUCCUGUUCCGACUGGUUACACACACGCGGGUCGAAGUCAUACUCUCCAGCGAAACGCCAACACGCAGACCUACCAGAUGGACCAGGCCACUGAUACCCAGCCUAGACACUCCAACCCAGCAGCGGACAGUUCUGUGCCACGUGAUGCCAGUCAUGCCACACCAAGUGCCAGCUCACACCGCCAACAAAUGCCUUGGGACCGUCUGAGGGGCACCCCGGCGUACCCCAACGACCCCCCCCAGAAGGGUACAGGCUUCCCCCGACAGCAGCUACACCUCUGAUGGCACAGAGUCCCCGUCCCAGGCUAGACGAUCCAGACCACACACCAGGAAGAGUGGGCCAGGAGCACAGAUCCAGAGUCCCCCAGGAGCACAGACCCAGAGUCCCCCACAGAGCCGAUCUACACCCAGGAAGGCUGCACCGACGGCGGGCAGACAGACCCACAACCUCCCCCACACUCAUGGGACGAACCCUGAGCCUGGGGCUCCAAGCCACACACAGUCGCAUAUCAGUCCCCAUGCACACGGUACACCAAGGCAGAGAGCCCAGCAGGAUGUCAGAGCUCAAUCCCAGAUCACAGCUCAGACCGCUUCUCAAAGCCAGACUGGCCCCAGGCAACAAAAUGCCUCCCGCAGCUACCACAACCCCCAGCCACAACAACAGGGACCAGGCGCUCCACAGGGACUAAUAACCACCAUGCCCCGAGGCACCACACUCGACACGCGAGCUCUCGCCAAUCCAAAUCACAUCCCACAGACACAAACCGGGAUUCAGUAUGGUAGGGGAAACACACACAUGAUACCGCAGCCCACACAAGACCAGAGACAGACAGUAACACAAGGUUGGGGUGCACUAACACAGCCUGUUACACAGAACCCCAGUAGCCUCACUCAGACGGCCCUGGAGAUGCACACACUGACGACCCCUAACCCUUUUCACAACCGUAACCACCAGACACAGGCCGCCCUGCUCAACACCCAAGCUCGAGGCCGUAACCCUGGGCACCAGCGGCCCCCCACGCCCCCUCCCGUGAUCCCUCUGGCUCAGUUCCAGACUAUUCCCAGAGAAAGCACACGGCACCAGUCUCCAAACCGGGGCCCCACUGGCCCUCUCAGGCCCCCGGUCAACGUACACACCACACAGAGACACCCCAACGCCCACCCGCCCCACAGACAUCCCGGUGCUAGCAUGCCGGCCAACCUGCACUCGGGAAAUGCCCACCACGUGCACGCUGAUAACACACACAGACACGGUCAACAUACUCAUCAUGCCCACAGGAACACUGCCCACCCACGCCAGACCCACCAAGGGAGGCCUAGACACUGAGAGAUGCCAACGGACACACACACACCAGCAACUGACAAGAGGAGAAACACAAGCAUGGAUGACUAUGAGAGCCCCACUCUAAAGCAAUGGAGACCAAGCAAAAACACACAUAUGCGCGUGCGCACACACACACACACACACACUAUCACACACACGACUCCCCCUGCCUGUCAAGGGUAUGUUAUCUGUUGAUUUUCAACAGUACCAACAAUGAGUCACUGGAAAACACACACAGAUGUGUUAUUUCUGAAGCACUGUAUAACCAAAUAGUAGGAAUGAGAAAAGGGCCUUAUUGAGGCGAGACACUCCAGGCCGUGUGUCGUGGCCUCUCCCAUUCAGCGUGUUCAGAGCGAGAAUGAGGCACUACCACAACAAUGAGGACUUGAAAUGUUUCCAUUCAUAGCUGUGUGUGUGUUGCUUCUUGUGACUAGAAUGAACAGUAAAAAGGAAAGAAAAAGAGAACCCGUGCUGGACUGAUUCCAAUUGAAUGGACUUGGCCCCUGGGAACUACUGUGUGAAAAUGGGCCCCUGGGAACUACUGUGUGAAAAUUCAGAAGGAAAAAAAAAAACCUCUGCGACUUGCUUUAUUUAAUAUUUCCAUGGAAGUAUUUAUGUGGUGACUUUCUGUUUACAGAUGCUUCUCUUGACACCGCUCAAUUAACGGGAUUGGCCUCGGCGCCUGGGCUUCAGAAGCAAUGCUCAACUAACUAUGAAGGAGACCCCACAAAUGGAUGGGCCGCUUAUUAAUUAAGUGCUUUUAUGUGACUUAAACGACUCGUAAAAUAAUAGCGCCCAUGCGUGGAGGAGGUCAGCACGAAGAAGCUGCUGAGCUGCCACAUUUUCCCCGGCUAAGCAAAGCAAAACAAUUUGCUCCGGGACUACGAUGCUCUUUUGUGUGGGGGAUUGACACAUUAAAAGGGAUCUCUAUUGGAAUGAAUCUUAGUUCUCUUUUGAACAAAUUGUAUAUUUAAUGUUUUUCUUUCUCUGUUACGUGGUAAAUAUGUUCGACUGCUAUUGCAACAUGUGUCUUUGUGACUCAGGGAGGCUGUUUUAUACUAAAAUAUGUGUUCCAUUAAAAUACAGAAAAGAGGAUAAAUAAGGUUUUUAAAGAUUAGGGGUCUCCAUUGAACAUUUUUUUCAGGACUAGGCCGCCCCCAUAUGUUUUAUUGAUGAUAAUAAAGUAUUUUGAUUUACAGGAAA